AAACCCAGUUCAUCUGGGGUGUGACUCAGGAAACCACAGCUCUGUGUCUCCGGGAAAGCCCAGCCUCCCUUUCUCUGAAGGGAGAGCUGUGGUUUGGGGACAGUCAGCUGAGCUGCUGGAGUAUGGCACUCCACGUCUGAGAUUCUUCAGUUGUGAGCAUCAGUGUCUGCUGUGCUGUGAAGCAUGUGGAGGGAGGAAUGGCGAUUCCUCCCUUUCCUAAGCAGAUACUGACCGCAUCGUAACUGAAAUGGGAAACUAGCUGAAAACAUCACUUAAAACUAAUCACUAGCUGAACCUCGGCCACUUACAAAAUGGCAACUUUGUCAACUGCAGGUGGCUUACUCUUCAAACUUUGUUCCACCAUGGUGAAUGGCAGGCUGUAACUGGCCACAGUGAGGGCAGACAGGACACAGAGGAAUCAGGCUCUCGCUUAUGAAGAUGUUCAUGCAGAUGGAUUACUUCAACAUCUGUCUCUGAUGGAAAGAGUUCCAGAAGCAGGGAAAGGACAUGGCACCUGGACUUCUAUGACUCCUUUGGAGAGACCCUACUGCAAACCUGUAAAUGCUGAUGUUAGCCAGCUGCUGACUUCCUGCAUCCCUGCAUUUGCAUACGGAUGGGACGGGGCAACUAUAUAACCUAUAUAGAUGAAGUCUACAAAAUAACGUGUAUAGAUGAAGUCUACACAUACACACGGGGGAGGCAGUACAACAAGAUGUCAAGGUGGAACCCUAGUUUGCUGUGUUGUUACUUUAUCUGGAAAACAAGAAAUA
Apodemus sylvaticus (European woodmouse) is the source of this 770-nucleotide long non-coding RNA. RefSeq lists it as uncharacterized. NCBI's taxonomy places the organism in Eukaryota, Metazoa, Chordata, Mammalia, Rodentia, Muridae. The record is from RefSeq and is a predicted model, not a curated record. The transcript has 3 exons.